Molecule: ribosomal RNA, 536 nt
Filed under: uncultured bacterium
Lineage: Bacteria
Description: partial 16S ribosomal RNA
Rfam family: Bacterial small subunit ribosomal RNA
Source: RNAcentral
GAUGAACGCUGGCGGUGUGCCUAAUACAUGCAAGUCGUACGCAUUCUCGUUUCCGAUUGACGGUGCUUGCACCUAAUUGACGAGACAUUGGAAUGAGUGGCGGACGGGUGAGUAACACGUGGGUAACCUGCCCAAAGCGGGGAUAACAUUUGGAAACAGAUGCUAAUACCGCAUAACCACAGAAACCACAUGGUUUCUGUGUCAAAGAUGGUUUCGGCUAUCACUUUGGGAUGGACCCGCGGCGUAUUAGCUAGUUGGUAAGGUAAUGGCUUACAAAGGCAAUGAUACGUAGCCGAACUGAGAGGUUGAUCGGCCACAUUGGGACUGAGACACGGCCCAAACUCCUACGGGAGGCAGCAGUAGGGAAUCUUCCACAAUGGACGAAAGUCUGAUGGAGCAACGCCGCGUGAGUGAAGAAGGUUUUCGGAUCGUAAAACUCUGUUGUCAGAGAAGAACGUGUGCGAGAGUAACUGUUCGUGCAGUGACGGUAUCUGGCCAGAAAGCCACGGCUAACUACGUGCCAGCCGCCGCGGUAA